UUAGGUUUUCAUAGAUGGAACUAUUACUAAUUCAUCCAACUCUUUCUAGUUCACAAGGAGAAGACAGAGAAGUGAAAAGACCUCAUUCCAGCAGGAUAGCUGGGAAUACAAGCAAGUAUCACAAGUCCCAGAUUAUUCUUUGUCCUUGGAGCUUUGAGCAGUCCCACGUGAAUACCUAUCAGUUACUUCUGCUGCUUUGCUGACAUGAGUGUUGCAGUAUGCAGAAUGGAAGAGUCAGCAAUGCUUGGACCUUGAUUAUGAGAAGACCCUCCCUCUGCUACUUAAAACCUCCCUUGCAAACACUGGAGGGGAGGGGAAACACAUGGUGGAGCUGAUAUAUUAAUACACAUACAAUAGCACCAAUUGCCUGCAGGAGUAAAAAACCCUGAACACCUAACUUGAGAACAAAAUUAAUUUUAAAAUGUAGGUCAUAUGCUAAUGCAGCUCCCAGCGUAACCUGUGUAGCACCACCAAGCACAACAUAGGAGUGAACUGUGCCUUCCUGGUUUUCUUGUUUGCUCUUUUUGCUGUUUUCUGUUUGUAUGCAGCUAAAUCAGUUGUCAGAACCAUUGACCACAUUAAAGAGAGGAUUCCUUCAUCUAA
This is a long non-coding RNA of Pezoporus occidentalis (night parrot), 603 nucleotides long. RefSeq lists it as uncharacterized. NCBI's taxonomy places the organism in Eukaryota, Metazoa, Chordata, Aves, Psittaciformes, Psittacidae. The transcript is spliced from 2 exons. The record is from RefSeq and is a predicted model, not a curated record.